Molecule: long non-coding RNA, 1043 nt
Filed under: Olea europaea subsp. europaea
Lineage: Eukaryota; Viridiplantae; Streptophyta; Magnoliopsida; Lamiales; Oleaceae
Source: RNAcentral
UUCAAUAACUUCCACUAUUUUUACUACACGUUCUGAUAUGGUGACUGGUUUUAAUUUUCUAACUUUGUUGGAUUUAAUUCCUGUAACUAUUGGUGUAAGUGGUAGCUUAAGUGGAAACACAGGAGAUUGUUCUCGAAGUAUCUCAAACUUGCAAAAGAAAUAAAUCAAGGCGUGUACUCCAGGCGAUGAUGAUUGGGUGCACAUACAAAAGAGGCAAAUAUGUACUCAAAAAAGGUCCAAACUACAUCUUAGAGGACAUUGAGCCUUCUAUGUCAUUGUCAUUAUUGAGAACAAUGGCUACAACUUGGGUCUUUAAGGUAAGUAUAUUAUAAUUCCUAUCAUCGAUGUGUCUAAUGUUGCAUCAUUUGAUGUAGGUGCAGAUUUGAGGUCGAAUCCUUUUUAAAAGAGAGGGGAUGAUGUGAUUCAGGGAAGCAACAAACUUACAAAGAUCCAGUUCAACUUGAAGAGGAAUCAAGGACAAGAUCAAGAGUUACGGAGGAUCAAUGUGGCCAUAGAAUGAGUUGUCUGAGAUGUAAAGACCAAGAGCUUGAGUGAAACAAACCAAAUAACAACUUACAUGUUGGACAUGAAAGCAGGAUCAAGUUUGGUGCGUUGGAUUCUAGCUUUGGAAGAUAUAUGAAAAAAAUGAGCAGCAUGGAUGAAAAUGUACAUAACUUUCAGCUCAGGUGUCGGACUUUUGCCCAUGAGUACAAUUCGAAAACGUCGUCAAAUUCUGCACAUGAGUAAAGAGGAGUCAUCAUUAAAGCUAUGCGAUUGCACAACUUAAAAAGGGAUGCAGUUGCAUACCCUAUUUCUGAUCCAAAUUGGAGGUUGAACUUUUGUUUUGUGCGAUCGCAAGCCAUAGUACUAUGCAACUGCAUAGUAUAAGAUUGACGCGAAUUUUUCCAAAUUUUGUGGGAUCUUUUAUUUCAGUUAAAACUCUAAUUUUUGGCAAAUUUUUGUAAUCCUUAGGAUUCUUUUUUUCAUGUAGACUAGGGUUUUAUCAAGUUUCCUAUGUAGAGGACUCAUUAUUUCAUUGUAAG